GGAAACUGCAGGAAAAUGCAGCAGUUUUGGCCGAUUUUUCAACCUCAGUUUCUCCCUCAUCCGGCCACCAAAUCAGUCGUGUGAGGCAGCAGAGGCCAAACUGAGCCACAGGAGGGACCUUCAAGAGGUCCAGCUAGAUCGGACCAGCAGCAGUAGACGUGCACAGGAAUCCACCACCAGGCCUUCUCCAGCUCCCACGCUACUUACAAGAUGUAGGAUUGGUUGUAAGCUACUUAAAGUCUUGUAAAUAAUUAGUAACUGCUCUGAUAUCUGGUUGGAUUAGAUAACCAGAACUGGUGAAUAUUUAGUUACCCUAUUCUGGCAGUUGGUGUGGUUUUAGUUGAUUGUUUGACAUGUGAAAAAUUUGGGUUUAGUCAAAUUACAGGGGAGACUCUGCCGAAUUUUCGGCAGGAGUCCAGAGAAAGUUUAAACCGUAUUUAUUAGCAGGAAGGGUAAAGAGGUCAUUGUGCCCGACAUUUGCCAGGUGUCGGACACGCACAGGGCUUGGCUCGAAUUCCAAAGUGGAAAUUGGGUCGGGUCGUGUCAGCUGGAGCAAUGUGGAUGGAUUAUAUUUAGAAUCAUUAGUCUUAUAAUUUAUUUAGUCUAGAAUAUUUUAAUUUAAUAUGUAUUAUUUAAGACUUGAAGACCAAUUGAGCUUGUUGAUCAUA
This is a long non-coding RNA of Prunus dulcis (almond), 668 nucleotides long. RefSeq lists it as uncharacterized. The record is from RefSeq and is a predicted model, not a curated record. The transcript is spliced from 3 exons. Lineage: Eukaryota; Viridiplantae; Streptophyta; Magnoliopsida; Rosales; Rosaceae.